AGCUAACCUACACUUAGGUCAAGGAUAACCUCGGGAAACUGAGGAUAAAACUUGAUAGGAGAUUUACCCUGGAAUGAUUUAUCUCCGAAACUCGUGCCUAAGUAUGGGGCUGCGGUGGAUUAGGUUGUUGGCGGGGUAAUAGCCCACCAAGCCGAUGAUCCAUAAGGGCUCUUAGCGGAGAGGCCCUGAGAGGGAGUCUGAGACACUACUCCCAGCCCUACGGGGUGCAGCAGUUAGGAAUAAUCUGCAAUGCGCGAAAGCGUGACAGUUUGAGCCAGAGUGCUUUCCAUUCGGAAAGCUUUUGCUUAGUGUAAAAAACUAGGCGAAUAAGGACUGGGUAAGACGGGUGCCAGCCGCCGCGGUAAUACCCGCGGUCCAAGUCGCAGCCAUCAUUAUUGGGUCUAAAACAUCCGUAGCUUGCUUUGUAUGUCUCCUGUGAAAUCCGGCAUCUCAAGUGUCGGGCGAGCAGGGGGUACUGCUUAGCUAGAGACUGGAAGACGUAACGAGUACGUUCAGAGUAGUGGUAAAAUACGUUAAUCCUGGACGGACUAACAAGAGCGAAGGCACGUUACGAGGACAGUUCUGACAGUAAGGGAUGAAGGCUAGGGGCGCAAAACGGAUUAGAUACCCGUGUAGUCCUAGCAGUAAACACUGUACACUAAACAUUAGUACCUCCUCGAGAGGUAUUGGUGCUGAAGCGAAGGCGAAGAGUGUACUACCUGGGAAGUAUAGUCGCAAGGCCGAAACUUAA
This 751-nucleotide ribosomal RNA is filed under the name uncultured archaeon. RNAcentral describes it as "bacterial SSU rRNA". It matches the Rfam family "Archaeal small subunit ribosomal RNA", at positions 102 to 859 of the family's 1478-position model. The record is from RNAcentral.